CAAUAGCGUAUAUUUAAGUUGUUGCAGUUAAAAAGCUCGUAGUUGGAUUUCGGGCGGGGUUGGCCGGUCCGCCGUUUCGGUGUGCACUGGCUGGUUUCGUCUUUUUGUCGAGGACGCGCUUCUGGCCUUUAUUGGUCGGGACGCGGAGUCGGCGCAGUUACUUUGAAAAAAUACAGAGUGUUUCAAGCAGGCAGCUCGCUCUUGCAUGGAUUAGCAUGGGAUAAUGAAAUAGGACUCUGGUGCUAUUUUGUUGGUUUCGAACACCGGAGUAAUGAUUAACAGGGACAGUCAGGGGCGACUCGUAUUCCGUCGAGAGAGGUGAAAUCUCAGACCAAU
This 336-nucleotide ribosomal RNA is filed under the name uncultured eukaryote. Its description in RNAcentral is "bacterial SSU rRNA". It matches the Rfam family "Eukaryotic small subunit ribosomal RNA", at positions 592 to 929 of the family's 1831-position model. The record is from RNAcentral.